CCUACGGGAGGCAGCAGUGGGGGAUAUUGCACAAUGGGGGGAACCCUGAUGCAGCGACGCCGCGUGGGUGAAGAAGCGCCUCGGCGCGUAAAGCCCUGUCAGCAGGGAAGAAAAUGACGGUACCUGAAGAAGAAGCCCCGGCUAACUACGUGCCAGCAGCCGCGGUAAUACGUAGGGGGCAAGCGUUAUCCGGAUUUACUGGGUGUAAAGGGGGCGCAGACGGCGAUGCAAGCCAGGAGUGAAAGCCCGGGGCUCAACCCGGGGACUGCUCUUGGAACUGCGUGGCUGGAGUGCAGGAGGGGCAGGGGGAAUUCCUGGUGUAGCGGUGAAAUGCGUAGAUAUAAGGAGGAACACCGGUGGCGAAGGCGGCCUGCUGGACUGCAACUGACGUUGAGGCCCGAAAGCGUGGGGAGCAAACAGGAUUAGAUACCCCAGUAGUC
RNAcentral lists this ribosomal RNA (440 nucleotides) under uncultured bacterium. RNAcentral's name for it is "partial 16S ribosomal RNA". It matches the Rfam family "Bacterial small subunit ribosomal RNA", at positions 338 to 795 of the family's 1533-position model. The record is from RNAcentral.